GACGAACGCUGGCGGCGUGCUUAACACAUGCAAGUCGAACGCUGAAGACCUGGCUUUUGUUGGGUUGGAUGAGUGGCGAACGGGUGAGUAACACGUGAGUAACCUGCCCUCUUCUUUGGGAUAACGCCCGGAAACGGGUGCUAAUACUGGAUAUUCACUGGCCUUCGCAUGGGGGUUGGUGGAAAGGUUUGUUCUGGUGGGGGAUGGGCUCGCGGCCUAUCAGCUUGUUGGUGGGGUGAUGGCCUACCAAGGCUUUGACGGGUAGCCGGCCUGAGAGGGUGACCGGUCACAUUGGGACUGAGAUACGGCCCAGACGCCGACGGGAGGCAGCAGUGGGGAAUAUUGCACAAUGGGCGAAAGCCUGAUGCAGCGACGCCGCGUGAGGGAUGGAGGCCUUCGGGUUGUAAACCUCUUUCGCUCAUGGUCAAGCCGCAACUGUGGGUUGUGGUGAGGGUAGUGGGUAAAGAAGCGCCGGCUAACUACGUG
This 486-nucleotide ribosomal RNA is filed under the name uncultured bacterium. RNAcentral describes it as "partial 16S ribosomal RNA". It matches the Rfam family "Bacterial small subunit ribosomal RNA", at positions 28 to 507 of the family's 1533-position model. The record is from RNAcentral.